UGAGAGAGCGUGUCUCAACCACACACAGGAA
Molecule: non-coding RNA, 31 nt
Filed under: Mus musculus (house mouse)
Lineage: Eukaryota; Metazoa; Chordata; Mammalia; Rodentia; Muridae
Source: RNAcentral